GAGUUUAAGAAGCGAUUCCAUAAUAUUACAAUUGAAGGUUCCAUAAAGGAUCAUUUUAUGCAAAAUGUUCAAUAUAAUACAAGGCUAUGUUAUGUGAAGCAAGAUCCUGUGAGGAGAAACAAAAUAAUAUUCCAAAAUCUAUUUGGGAGAGCUGGAAACCUCACUAUGAUACUGAGAGUUUUAAGGCUAAAUCUGCACAAUGUUCCAAAAAUCGACUCAGUGAGAAAUGUGGUGAAGGAUCUGGUUCCUCG
This 251-nucleotide unclassified non-coding RNA is filed under the name Hevea brasiliensis (rubber tree). The record is from RNAcentral. Lineage: Eukaryota; Viridiplantae; Streptophyta; Magnoliopsida; Malpighiales; Euphorbiaceae.